This 2271-nucleotide unclassified non-coding RNA is filed under the name Hevea brasiliensis (rubber tree). The record is from RNAcentral. Lineage: Eukaryota; Viridiplantae; Streptophyta; Magnoliopsida; Malpighiales; Euphorbiaceae.
AUAAUAAUAAUAAUAAAUCUGUUUAAGGAAUAACAAAUUGCAAUAAAUGCGUAAAUUUGCAAAAUUUUAACGAAAAAUAUGCAACUAUUUAAGUAUUUAUACACUGUUUAUGAGUUAAGUUCAUCAUAAACCGAAGUAAAAUAUCACAUCCAAAUGUCACCACCAAAAGGAGUCAUGAUUCAAAAACAAUUUGGCAAACAAUGUGAAGAUAGUAAAGUUUAAUUUACAUCCUUCAAAUAAAUUAAAAAAUUUGUUGUCUUGUAAGCUAGGAUUUAAAUUUUGGUAAGCAGAGUCUAGUUGGAUCUUUGAGAUCAUAAUAGUUAUGAAAGAAAUUUCAACUGUUUAGCACGAAGUAAAUGGAAGAGAACCAAAUUAGGUAAAAAAUACCUCAGGAAUUUAUAAAGGCUCAAGCUUUAAGGCCUUCAAUUUAAUGUUGUAAAUGGCCAUUAUCAUUGCCUAAUGGUUGUUACCUAUACCUUUUCUUUGCCCCAUCAUAGGCAAUAAGCCUAAAAAAUCCUUCAUGUCAUCGCAGUUACAUUAAACUAAGGCCAUUAACUAAGAACAAUGGGUGCAUGCAUUCAUGAGAAUCCUCAUACAGAACAAUCUUAACCAUUAAGCGGUAUACGCCAAGCACCAAAGAGGUUUCAUCCUACUACUACAGUUUAGGAACAAAUAAUUUGUCCAUUGUGAAAGAAAGCAUCGUUUAACCAAGCAUAAACACUAUGUUCUGCAUCUCUUGCUGGGCAUUUCAAUAUUAGAGCUCUCUUACUACUGGCACAAAUUCUUGCUAAUCCAGAUAUUUGCUUGACAUGAUCUCUCUCUUCUAAUGACAUUGUCUAAAAUUCUUUACCAAAAAUGGUCAAAUUCCUGUGACCAUUGACCACUUUAUUUUGAUAUCCUUCCUUAAGCCACAGGGCUGUAGACCUAUUCUUCUUUAAGCAACAGGGCUGUAGUCUACACCUUUGUCCAAUUGCCCCCAAAACUGGUCUGGUUGGAAAUGGCAAAUUAUCAUCAAGAAAAGACCAAAAAAGAGAGAGAAAGAAAGAGGAUGUUGGAACCCAACCAAGCCUGCAGAAUAAAUCCAGAAAAAAGUCCAUUGAGAUUGCUUUGAUAUAAGCUUUUUCUAUGAAAAUCCAGCAGAAACUAAAGUAAGAGGGUGAGCUUUUCCUAUGAAAAUCCAGCAGAAUCUUGCGCAAGUUGAACUGACGAUUCCAGCAUGAUUCUGGCUAUAACAUGGUGCAUAGGGCUGCACAAUAAACGGUUUUAACCAAUAAAACCAAACUGAACAGAUCUAGUUUGGUUUUUCAGUAAUCCGGUUUGGUUUUUUGUUAUAUCUUUUUCAAAAUCAGGUUUUUUGGUUCGGUUUGAUUAAUUUAGACACAAAACCAAACUAAUCAAAUAGAACGAACCCAUUUCUUAUAUUGUGUUGUUUGACCUCCACAUAAAAUCCCUAAACUCCUCCCCUUUUCCGAUUUGGUUAGAUUAAUUUAGUCGAAAAACCGAAUUAACCAAAUAGAACUAACCCAUUUCUUAUAUUGUGUCAUUUGUCCUCUCAAUAAAAUCCUUGAACUCUUCCCCAAACCCUAGUUCCCCUCUGCCUCCCAGGUCCUUAGCCCUUGAUCUCAGGACCCUCUCUGCCUCACCUCUGUGAAAUCAAUUCCCUACAUUCUCUCUUAGUCUCUUUCAUGGCCAGCCACAACCCUUAAGCCUCCCUUUGUGAUUAUGGCCCCUCCUACUCUUAGCCUUCUUCCGUAUUUUUAUUUUACUUUAUCUUUGCUUUUGUGGUUAUCUGUUUCCAUUUGCUUUUGUGGUCAUCCAUUUCAAAUCUCAUUACCUGGAAACUUUUCAAUUAGAGAUUUCCUCUUCUAGAAACCUCUCUUCCUCAAUCACUCUUAUUGCAACGUCUUCGAGAUCAAAUGCACUUUAUCCAUGAUCUGAUUCUCCAAACUCUAGAGUCGCUAUGUCCAACACCUACGAUAACGAAAACUCCAGGCUGAAUAUCAAUUUUAUUGCUCUAUACUUUUGAAGUCUUUUUUGUAGGAUCGAUUGUUGCAUGUAUAAUUCACAGAUUCAGUGAUUCUAGUAUUUGUGAUUGUUUUCUUGGGUCUGCGAUUUGUACUUAUAGUUUAUGUUUGAGUAGAUUUGCCUGGGAUUGUGUUAGGACUCUAAAAAUUGGUUAUCUAUAGGUUGUAAUGACGCAACGUAUAGCGCGAAAAUAAAUCCAGAGCCGCUAUGUCCAAAUCCCUUAAAAUAAACAAGAUCUAAUCCAAG